Molecule: long non-coding RNA, 988 nt
Organism: Aethina tumida (small hive beetle)
Lineage: Eukaryota; Metazoa; Arthropoda; Insecta; Coleoptera; Nitidulidae
Exons: 4
Source: RefSeq, a predicted model, not a curated record
GUUGUCAUUUAAACAUAAUUUUCAUCAACCAAACAUAAACUGUCAGACAUCAAAGUCAACAUCACCAAGAGUCAUAAAUUUUCGUAACACACAAUGUUCCCAAUUUCCCAAGUAGCUUUACCACAAAAAGUGGACAAAGAGUGCGAUCACAUAGAAUGCAGAAAUUUAAAAUGGAAGAUCUGCUGCAAGGCGCAAGGUUGUACCAAAUCGUGCACACAUUUGAGCUGUUGCAUCAAAAUGGCACAGAAGGGUUGUCAAAAGUGCAUCUCUUGUCAACUGGGAUGCUGCCAAGCCCACUGUGUCUGGCACCAUUGUUGCAAACACGAUUGUAAAAAACCACGCGGCGGUAUCCAAGUUCCUUGUUGCUAUGAUGGAAUGUGCAUCCAGUGCCAGAUGCAACACAUUGGGGACAAUUAGUCGCAUUUUACGCCAUUAAUAAACAGUUCUAAAAUAUUUUCGUUUUAUCAUUGUAUUGAACACAUAAACAGUAAAACGCAACUAAUUAAUUUAUAUUUUUUUUUUGUAAUUUAAUGCAUCACAUCACGUCUGUGUUCUAGAUUUUACGCUAAUAUACAAAUAUAAAAACAGAUACAAAAAAUCACGACCCAAUUGAACUCGAAGAUUAGAUUGUAGUGAUUUUCAUUAAAUCGGUGUUGCACACGGUUCCACUUCAAAUCGCGUGAUAUAUAAACAUUUCAUUGUUCGGCUAUACAACAGUAUUUAAGUCGCUGUUGUCGUAUAAACUUGUGUUGAUUAAACAUGGAUGCUCCAAAAGAAGGUGAUGCUUGCUGUAAAAAAACAGCAGCAGAUGCUUGUUGCAAAAAACCAGCAACUCAAGGCACGGAAGAUAAAUGCUGCAAAACCGAGAAAAAGGAAGGUGACCAAUGCUGUCGCAAGAAGUAAAUGACUUCACACGUUUUAUUAUAGACAGUAUUCUCAAAUAUGUACUGAUUAGAUUAUGUAUUUAAUAUAAUAAUGUGAAAGAUAA